RNAcentral lists this long non-coding RNA (441 nucleotides) under Panax ginseng (ginseng). RNAcentral describes it as "long non-coding RNA (PGIN_LNC007069)". The record is from RNAcentral. Lineage: Eukaryota; Viridiplantae; Streptophyta; Magnoliopsida; Apiales; Araliaceae.
AUAUAUAUAUAUAUAUAUAUAUAUAUAUAUAUAUAUAUAUAUCAUCAUCAUCAUCAUGAUCAGGGUUGGGCUCCAUCAACGUAGGAAUGUCCAACUCCAGGACUUGGGCCACUAUUCUUAAUAGUACCCCAGAGAGCAAGAAGUUUGUCAUAGUACUCUGCAACAUUCUCCUUAACAUUAACAUGAACAUGAACGUCCCUUCCCAAUUGAGUAGUAGGAGGAGGAUAUCUUAUCAAAGGCCGGGCUUCCAUGCAAGUAAAUAGCAAACUGAAGAUCAAUAACACAACUACAAUCAUGAGCAUAUUGUUGGACUCGGACUUUCUGCAGCCCAUUACCGAUCGAUCCAUUUAAUAAUUAUAUAUACUAUUUUUUUGAAGUUAUAAGAGCAAGAGAGAGAUAGAAGUUUAUAGAUAUGAUGAAGAUGGUGGUACUAGUAACUAG